CUCCAUUUAAUAGAAUGUUAUGUUGACAAGAAAUGUUUUGCUUUGCAUGACAAGAAAUGUUUGCUUUGCAUGACAAGAAAUGUUUUGCUUUGCAUCUUUAGGAUUGUGUUGAAAUCAAAAUAUAAAAAAAUCAACACACAACUUACCCCUUCUGAUGAAAGUUAAUGGUUGUUCCUGUAUGCAAAGACCAAAUUCUUCUUUUGUUAGAAGUCAAAGAUGUAGUAUGAACAGAUGCAGAAUGGGGGGGGGGGGGGGGGUUAUACCAAAAUAUUUCUUGUUCCUAUUUAUCAUUAAAAAAAAUGCUUGUUUUUUAUAAAAGUCUUAAAUGUCGCCUGUGAAAAAAAAAAUAACACUCUAUUUACAAACUGGUUAAGGUCAGUGUUUAAUUAUGUUCAUUGCUUCCUGGUCUGUGCCUAAGUAUGAUGCUGAUUUAUGGCCUUCUGAGGUCAAAUGCUUAGUCUGUGCCUUCUGAGGUCAAAUGCUUAGUCUGUGCCGUCUGAGGUCAAAUGCUUAGUCUGUGCCUUCUGAGGUCAAAUGCUUAGUCUGUGCCUUGUGAUGCCCAAUGCUUGGUCUGUACCUUUUGAUGUCAAAUGCUUGGUGUGUGCUUUUUGAUGUCAAAUGCUUGGUCUGUGCCUUUUGAUGUCAAAUGUUUGGUCUAUGCCUUAUGAUGUCAAAUGUUUGGUCUGUGCCUUAUGAUGUCAAAUGCUUGGUCUGUGCCUUAUGAUGCCCAAUGCUUGGUCUGUGCCUUAUGAUAUUAAAUGCUUGGUCUGUGCAUUGUGAUUCCAAAUGCUUGGUCUGUGCCUUAUGAUGUCAAAAGCUUGGUGUGUGCCUUGUGAUGUCAAAUGCUUGGUCUGUGCCUUUUGAUGUCAAAUGUUUGGUCUAUGCCUUAUGAUGUCAAAUGCUUGGUCUGUGCCUUAUGAUGUCAAAUGUUUAGUCUGUGCCUUAUGAUGUCAAAUGCUUGGUCUGUGCCUUAUGAUGCCCAAUGCUUGGUCUGUGCCUUAUGAUGUUAAAUGCUUGGUCUGUGCAUUGUGAUUCCAAAUGCUUGGUCUGUGUCUUAUGAUGUCAAAAGCUUGGUGUGUGCCUUGUGAUGUCAAAUGCUUGGUCUGUGCCUUGCGCUGCCAAUUUUAUCCCUUUAAUGAUCUCAUGCUUGGUCUGUGAUUUAAAUGAUGCCUGGUUUUGUACCUCAUGAUGCCCAAUAUUUGUUCUGUUCCUUAUGCUGUACAAUUCUGAUAAUCAUAUUAAUAAGAUCUUCAACACACCAGAAAUUAAUUUAACACAUUAAUCAAUUAAUAUCUGUACACAAUGGGUUGGCCUUUGUCCAUGAUAUGUGAUAUAAACCUAAUAAAUGAAUUAUAUAAUAGUAGACUGACAAUUGACAUUAUAUAACACCUGCAAACAGCUGGAUGCUUCUAAUUAUUUAAAGCUAGGUCAAGGACU
This 1437-nucleotide long non-coding RNA is filed under the name Mytilus galloprovincialis (Mediterranean mussel). The record is from RNAcentral. Lineage: Eukaryota; Metazoa; Mollusca; Bivalvia; Mytilida; Mytilidae.